RNAcentral lists this ribosomal RNA (311 nucleotides) under uncultured eukaryote. RNAcentral's name for it is "partial large subunit ribosomal RNA". It matches the Rfam family "Eukaryotic large subunit ribosomal RNA", at positions 40 to 350 of the family's 3401-position model. The record is from RNAcentral.
AUAUCAAUAAGGCGAGGAACAGAAACCAACAGGGAUUCCCCCAGUAGUGGCGAAUGAAGCGGGAAAAGCUCAAGUUUGAAAUCUGAUGCAUGUCAGAGUUGUAAGCUGAAGAGGUUUCGACCGAUGGUGCUCGGGCUCAAUUCCCUUGGGAUAGGGAGUCGUGGAGGGUGUGAACCCCGUUCAUGGCCCGCAAGCCUUCCAUCUUUGUGUCGUGUCCUCAAAGAGUCGGUUUGUUUGGGAUUGCAGACCGAAGUAGGUGGUAAACUCCACCUAAGGCUAAAUACGAUCGCGAGACCGAUAGCGCACAAGUA